Molecule: ribosomal RNA, 260 nt
Filed under: uncultured bacterium
Lineage: Bacteria
Description: partial 16S ribosomal RNA
Rfam family: Bacterial small subunit ribosomal RNA
Source: RNAcentral
UAGUCCUACGGGACGCAGCAGUGGGGAAUAUUGCACAAUGGGGGAAACCCUGAUGCAGCGACGCCGCGUGAGUGAAGAAGUAUCUCGGUAUGUAAAGCUCUAUCAGCAGGAAAGAUAAUGACGGUACCUGACUAAGAAGCCCCGGCUAACUACGUGCCAGCAGCCGCGGUAAUACGUAGGGGGCAAGCGUUAUCCGGAUUUACUGGGUGUAAAGGGAGCGUAGACGGCAGCGCAAGUCUGGAGUGAAAUGCCGGGGCCCA